AGUGAACGCUGGCGGUAGGCCUAACACAUGCAAGUCGAACGGCAGCACAGUAAGAGCUUGCUCUUACGGGUGGCGAGUGGCGGACGGGUGAGGCAUACAUCGGAAUCUACUUUUUCGUGGGGGAUAACGUAGGGAAACUUACGCUAAUACCGCAUACGACCUACGGGUGAAAGCAGGGGAUCUUCGGACCUUGCGCGAUUGAAUGAGCCGAUGUCGGAUUAGCUAGUUGGCGGGGUAAAGGCCCACCAAGGCGACGAUCCGUAGCUGGUCUGAGAGGAUGAUCAGCCACACUGGAACUGAGACACGGUCCAGACUCCUACGGGAGGCAGCAGUGGGGAAUAUUGGACAAUGGGCGCAAGCCUGAUCCAGCCAUACCGCGUGGGUGAAGAAGGCCUUCGGGUUGUAAAGCCCUUUUGUUGGGAAAGAAAAGCAGCAGGUUAAUACCCCGCUGUUCUGACGGUACCCAAAGAAUAAGCACCGACUAACUUCGUG
This 492-nucleotide ribosomal RNA is filed under the name uncultured bacterium. RNAcentral describes it as "partial 16S ribosomal RNA". It matches the Rfam family "Bacterial small subunit ribosomal RNA", at positions 29 to 507 of the family's 1533-position model. The record is from RNAcentral.